RNAcentral lists this unclassified non-coding RNA (327 nucleotides) under soil metagenome. RNAcentral's name for it is "partial contains 5.8S ribosomal RNA, internal transcribed spacer 2, and large subunit ribosomal RNA". The stretch from base 1 to 120 matches the Rfam family "5.8S ribosomal RNA", at positions 35 to 154 of the family's 154-position model. The record is from RNAcentral.
GAUGAAGAACGCAGCGAAAUGCGAUACGUAAUGUGAAUUGCAGAAUUCAGUGAAUCAUCGAAUCUUUGAACGCACAUUGCGCCCCUUGGUAUUCCGGGGGGCAUGCCUGUUCGAGCGUCAUUAUAACCCCUCAAGCUCAGCUUGGUGUUGGGGCCUGCCGACUGGCAGCCCUUAAAAUCAGUGGCGGCGCCAUCUGGCUCUAAGCGUAGUAAUUUCUCUCGCUAUAGAGUCCCGGUGGAUGCUUGCCAGCAACCCCCAACUUUCUAUGGUUGACCUCGGAUCAGGUAGGGAUACCCGCUGAACUUAAGCAUAUCAAUAAGCGGAGGA